UGAAACAUUUCCAACUAUUUACAUCCCCGUUCUUAUCACUGAGCCUGUCGUUUAGGCAAAGCUUUAAGAAGAGGUUUUACAGUCGGCUCCGAGAGAUUUAACAGCUGGUUCAGGUCACUUAAAGUAAGAUAUGAUCUAUAAAUUGUCUACUUUAACAAUGCACUUUACCUGAUUUAACACACUCAGAAUAGCCAUCCAAAUUGUGAAAUUCUUGGAAAAUCCCAGAAAAUUACCAGAAUAAGUAACUUUUGUACUUACUGAAGACGAUUUGGAGUAAUACUCACAGAUUAGACCCAAA
This is a non-coding RNA of Pelobates cultripes (western spadefoot toad), 298 nucleotides long. NCBI's taxonomy places the organism in Eukaryota, Metazoa, Chordata, Amphibia, Anura, Pelobatidae. The record is from the annotation of a GenBank genome assembly.